AGCGAACGCUGGCGGCAGGCCUAACACAUGCAAGUCGAACGAACCUUUCGGGGUUAGUGGCGGACGGGUGAGUAACACGUGGGAACGUGCCUUUAGGUUCGGAAUAACUCAGGGAAACUUGUGCUAAUACCGAAUGUGCCCUUCGGGGGAAAGAUCUAUCGUCUUUAGAGCGGCCCGCGUCUGAUUAGCUAGUUGGUUGAGGUAAUGGCUCACCAAGGCGACGAUCAGUAGCUGGUCUGAGAGGAUGAUCAGCCACAUUGGGACUGAGACACGGCCCAAACUCCUACGGGAGGCAGCAGUGGGGAAUCUUGCGCAAUGGGCGAAAGCCUGACGCAGCCAUGCCGCGUGAAUGAUGAAGGUCUUAGGAUUGUAAAAUUCUUUCACCGGGGACGAUAAUGACGGUACCCGGAGAAGAAGCCCCGGCUAACUUC
This 431-nucleotide ribosomal RNA is filed under the name uncultured bacterium. RNAcentral describes it as "partial 16S ribosomal RNA". It matches the Rfam family "Bacterial small subunit ribosomal RNA", at positions 29 to 504 of the family's 1533-position model. The record is from RNAcentral.